This 2923-nucleotide ribosomal RNA is filed under the name Klebsiella pneumoniae. RNAcentral describes it as "23S ribosomal RNA". It matches the Rfam family "Bacterial large subunit ribosomal RNA". The record is from RNAcentral. Lineage: Bacteria; Pseudomonadati; Pseudomonadota; Gammaproteobacteria; Enterobacterales; Enterobacteriaceae.
GGGUUGUGAGGUUAAGCGACUAAGCGUACACGGUGGAUGCCCUGGCAGUCAGAGGCGAUGAAGGACGUGCUAAUCUGCGAAAAGCGUCGGUAAGGUGAUAUGAACCGUUAUAACCGGCGAUGUCCGAAUGGGGAAACCCAGUGCAAUUCGUUGCACUAUCGUUAACUGAAUACAUAGGUUAACGAGGCGAACCGGGGGAACUGAAACAUCUAAGUACCCCGAGGAAAAGAAAUCAACCGAGAUUCCCCCAGUAGCGGCGAGCGAACGGGGAGCAGCCCAGAGUCUGAAUCAGCUUGUGUGUUAGUGGAACGGUCUGGAAAGUCCGACGGUACAGGGUGAUAGUCCCGUACACCAAAAUGCACAGGCUGUGAACUCGAAGAGUAGGGCGGGACACGUGGUAUCCUGUCUGAAUAUGGGGGGACCAUCCUCCAAGGCUAAAUACUCCUGACUGACCGAUAGUGAACCAGUACCGUGAGGGAAAGGCGAAAAGAACCCCGGCGAGGGGAGUGAAAAAGAACCUGAAACCGUGUACGUACAAGCAGUGGGAGCACCUUCGGGUGUGACUGCGUACCUUUUGUAUAAUGGGUCAGCGACUUAUAUUCUGUAGCAAGGUUAACCGUAUAGGGGAGCCGCAGGGAAACCGAGUCUUAACUGGGCGUUAAGUUGCAGGGUAUAGACCCGAAACCCGGUGAUCUAGCCAUGGGCAGGUUGAAGGUUGGGUAACACUAACUGGAGGACCGAACCGACUAAUGUUGAAAAAUUAGCGGAUGACUUGUGGCUGGGGGUGAAAGGCCAAUCAAACCGGGAGAUAGCUGGUUCUCCCCGAAAGCUAUUUAGGUAGCGCCUCGUGAACUCAUCUUCGGGGGUAGAGCACUGUUUCGGCUAGGGGGUCAUCCCGACUUACCAACCCGAUGCAAACUACGAAUACCGAAGAAUGUUAUCACGGGAGACACACGGCGGGUGCUAACGUCCGUCGUGAAGAGGGAAACAACCCAGACCGCCAGCUAAGGUCCCAAAGUCAUGGUUAAGUGGGAAACGAUGUGGGAAGGCACAGACAGCCAGGAUGUUGGCUUAGAAGCAGCCAUCAUUUAAAGAAAGCGUAAUAGCUCACUGGUCGAGUCGGCCUGCGCGGAAGAUGUAACGGGGCUAAACCAUGCACCGAAGCUGCGGCAGCGACACUAUGUGUUGUUGGGUAGGGGAGCGUUCUGUAAGCCUGCGAAGGUGACCUGUGAGGGUUGCUGGAGGUAUCAGAAGUGCGAAUGCUGACAUAAGUAACGAUAAAGCGGGUGAAAAGCCCGCUCGCCGGAAGACCAAGGGUUCCUGUCCAACGUUAAUCGGGGCAGGGUGAGUCGACCCCUAAGGCGAGGCCGAAAGGCGUAGUCGAUGGGAAACAGGUUAAUAUUCCUGUACUUGGUGUUACUGCGAAGGGGGGACGGAGAAGGCUAUGUUAGCCGGGCGACGGUUGUCCCGGUUUAAGCAUGUAGGCUGGUUGUCCAGGCAAAUCCGGAUAAUCAAGGCUGAGGUGUGAUGACGAGGCACUACGGUGCUGAAGUAACAAAUGCCCUGCUUCCAGGAAAAGCCUCUAAGCAUCAGGUAACAUUAAAUCGUACCCCAAACCGACACAGGUGGUCAGGUAGAGAAUACCAAGGCGCUUGAGAGAACUCGGGUGAAGGAACUAGGCAAAAUGGUGCCGUAACUUCGGGAGAAGGCACGCUGGUGUGUAGGUGAAGCCCCCGCGGGUGGAGCUGAGACCAGUCGAAGAUACCAGCUGGCUGCAACUGUUUAUUAAAAACACAGCACUGUGCAAACACGAAAGUGGACGUAUACGGUGUGACGCCUGCCCGGUGCCGGAAGGUUAAUUGAUGGGGUUAUCCGUAAGGAGAAGCUCUUGAUCGAAGCCCCGGUAAACGGCGGCCGUAACUAUAACGGUCCUAAGGUAGCGAAAUUCCUUGUCGGGUAAGUUCCGACCUGCACGAAUGGCGUAAUGAUGGCCAGGCUGUCUCCACCCGAGACUCAGUGAAAUUGAACUCGCUGUGAAGAUGCAGUGUACCCGCGGCAAGACGGAAAGACCCCGUGAACCUUUACUAUAGCUUGACACUGAACAUUGAGCCUUGAUGUGUAGGAUAGGUGGGAGGCUUUGAAGCGUGGACGCCAGUCUGCGUGGAGCCAACCUUGAAAUACCACCCUUUAAUGUUUGAUGUUCUAACGUUGGCCCCUGACCGGGGUUGCGGACAGUGUCUGGUGGGUAGUUUGACUGGGGCGGUCUCCUCCCAAAGCGUAACGGAGGAGCACGAAGGUUAGCUAAUCCUGGUCGGACAUCAGGAGGUUAGUGCAAUGGCAUAAGCUAGCUUGACUGCGAGCGUGACGGCGCGAGCAGGUGCGAAAGCAGGUCAUAGUGAUCCGGUGGUUCUGAAUGGAAGGGCCAUCGCUCAACGGAUAAAAGGUACUCCGGGGAUAACAGGCUGAUACCGCCCAAGAGUUCAUAUCGACGGCGGUGUUUGGCACCUCGAUGUCGGCUCAUCACAUCCUGGGGCUGAAGUAGGUCCCAAGGGUAUGGCUGUUCGCCAUUUAAAGUGGUACGCGAGCUGGGUUUAGAACGUCGUGAGACAGUUCGGUCCCUAUCUGCCGUGGGCGCUGGAGAAUUGAGGGGGGCUGCUCCUAGUACGAGAGGACCGGAGUGGACGCAUCACUGGUGUUCGGGUUGUCAUGCCAAUGGCACUGCCCGGUAGCUAAAUGCGGAAGAGAUAAGUGCUGAAAGCAUCUAAGCACGAAACUUGCCCCGAGAUGAGUUCUCCCUGAGACUUUAAGUCUCCUGAAGGAACGUUGAAGACGACGACGUUGAUAGGCCGGGUGUGUAAGCGCAGCGAUGCGUUGAGCUAACCGGUACUAAUGAACCGUGAGGCUUAACCUUACAACGCCGAAG